RNAcentral lists this ribosomal RNA (478 nucleotides) under uncultured bacterium. RNAcentral describes it as "partial 16S ribosomal RNA". It matches the Rfam family "Bacterial small subunit ribosomal RNA", at positions 28 to 507 of the family's 1533-position model. The record is from RNAcentral.
GAUUAACGCUGGCGGCGUGCAUAACACAUGCAAGUCGAACGAUGAAACUCAUUAGAUUUCUUCGGAAUGAAAAUGAAUGGAGUAGUGGCGAACGGGUGAGUAACGCGUGAGUAACCUGCCUUACACAAGGGGAUAGCCUCUGGAAACGGAGAAUAAUACCCUAUGAAACCAGACAAUCGCAUGAUAAUCUGGUCAAAAUGUUUAGUGGUGUAAGAUGGACUUGCGUCUGAUUAGCUAGUUGGUGAGAUAAAAGCUCACCAAGGCAACGAUCAGUAGCCGGCUUGGGAGCGUGUACGGCCCCAUUGGGACUGGGACACGGCCCAGACUCCUCCGGGAGGCAGCAGUGGGGAAUUUUGCACAAUGGGGGAAACCCUGAUGCAGCGACGCCGCGUGAUUUAGAAGGCCUUCGGGUUGUAAAAAUCUUUUGUAUAGGAAGAAAAUGACAGUACUAUACGAAUAAGGUCCGGCUAAUUACGUG